UAGACGCAGCCCCGCCCCCGCCCCCACCCCCACCCACUCCCAAGAAAUCACCACGACGGGUGAAGAUAGAGAUCCCCAAGCCAGUGGAGAAGAAGCCCACCCCACCUAAACCAUCACCUCCUCCUCUGCCCAAAGUCAUUCUCUCUUACAAAGACUUACAAAGACGAUCUGAGGGAAAAUGGUGGAGGGGUAUUAGGGAUAGAGAACUACCGAAUGGUCCAAGUGAAUGGUCAAAGCCCUUUAAGUGUCGACCACUGCAGUUCAGUAGAAUCCUUUACGACCAAACAUUGUCGUGGCAGCGGGGAUGGCCAACGUUCAGCCGGGAAAAAAGCAACAAACUACUGAAAGUUAAACCUUUGGAUGACAAAGUUAACCUUAAAGAGUGGAAGGAUUCUUGGAAGAUGUCCAGGCCUUUACCCAAGCAGCACACAGAAAACAGGGGCAUUACAGAAAAAGUAAAGGCUUUCAGAGAGUGGCAGAAUCGCUUGGCAAUCAGCAGAAAUAGAACAUCUACGGCAGUGGAGAAGAAAGGAAAGAACAGCGACAUGUCUAACUUCAGGUCUAAAGUGGCACCUCCACCAAAUAUACAUAAAUCUGAGCCACCAACUCAUGAGAAGAAACAUGAACCACUCCUUCAGCUGAGGAAGGAGAGCUCUGAGGAAAAUAAGCCCACCGUACCCAAGAGCGCAAAGCCCCCAGCCCCACAACCCAAGGAGAAGAAGCUGCUUGCUAGAAAACCGUCACCUCCUCAGGAUGACACAGUAAAUCUUCCAUGGUGGAAGAAAGUUUGUAGGACGUCCAAGCCUUCACUCAAGCAGCACACAGAGAAUCAGAUGAUUGCAGAAACUGUGAAGACAGGGACGGGCGAUGACAUGUCUGACUCCAGAAAAAUCGUGAUGAGCCUUGACAAUGAUGCUGACAUUGAAGCAGCACAUUUGGAGUCCAGGUUUGGAGACCAGGUUUGGAGGCCAGGUUUGGAGGCCAGGUUUGGAGGCCAGGCCAAGGUGGUACCUCCACCCAUACCACCCACAAAGAAACGUGAACCACCCAAGAAAUCGCAGUUUGAUGCCCCCCAAAUAACUCAGGCUUCAUCGGACAUACUUGAUGUCGAUAAUUGGUCAGAAGCCUGGAAGACUCAACCACUGUUGUUGAACAUUAAAGAACAAGUAUCUCUGGAGGCUUGGGAGCAGGAAUGGCCAGAGUUCACAGAGGAACAAAAUGAUAAACGACUGAAUGCUAAGCCUUUGGAUGACAAUGUAAAUCUUACAGAAUGGGGGGAUGCUUGGAAGACGCCCAAGCCUUUAGCCAAGCAGCACAUUGAGGACUUGACGGUUACAGAGACAGUAAAGCCCAAAGCCUUGACAGGUUGGAGAGAGGCAAGGAGGCUCUCUGGUGACAAUGUUCAAAAUAAUCCUCCAAGCUUGAAGGAUUGGCGUGACUCGUGGAGUUUCUGCCAAGAGCAUCGCUGGUGGAAGGUUUCUAUGGACUCCCAGAUGUCAAAACAACUUUUUUCCCAUCUAAGGAAAAGGGGCGGAGGGCUUUUUUUGUUUUGUUUUUUGUUUUUGUUUCUUUGUUUUCUUGGACACAAUACGGACUGGGGACAAUAGGACUUAAUUACCAUGACAGCCAUGAAGCAAGCAAACAUUACAAACAAAUAAACAACACAUUUAGGUUAAGACAAAAACAAUGACAACCAUGCAUUACUAUCAUUAUAACCUAAUUAACUUAAAGUAACUUUUAAAAGACCAAACUCGAAGAAAACUGUUAACAGUAUGUGAUGGGACAUGUAAGGAAAGGAAAGGGAAGGAAAAGAAGGCUGGUAGAAAGUGAGAUGUUAUGGCAAGGAUUUUGUAAAGUGUAUGUAUGCAGAUGGGAUUAGGCUGUGGGGGAUUGUGGGCUGAGGGCCCUUGGGUAAUAUUUUUGUCAGCAGAUAAACUUUAGAAAAGAUGGUGGAUAAAUGAAGAUAUCUUACGACGUUUACCAUUGAAAAAAAUGGUCACAGUUCCGGUCUACUUAAGGAGUGGCUCUCGGGUCUGGUAUAAUUAGUUAAUUGACUGUACUGUAUAUGAACCAGAAAGAAUUAAGGAGUGAGAUGUUUCGCUUCCUCCUCCGUCUCUGACUGUAGGCAUUUCCUAAUUCCAUCAGGACCCAAACUGACAGAGCUGCACUAGUUGACUUCAAGAAACCCGAAGAAGCUUCCUUUUCAGAUAUGUAGUGUUUGAUAUUAGCGAAUGUGGGACACAUUUUAUUUUUACGUGGGCAAGGAUGUGACAGGGUGUAGCUGAUAUUGUUGAGUUAAUUAACAUAGUCAUGUUACAUGCCUCCUAUUGGUCUGUUCAAACUGAUUCUUUGUGUUUUGUCUUAAUUGAUUGCAGGUGUGACUGCGGAGCAUGCGUCUCCUCCUGUUAUCUUAAAAUGGCUGCAUUUCCUGCCAACCAGGAAGAGGAAAAAAGAGCCGCUGCUACCUCCAAGUCCUUAGACUAGCUCUAGCCUAUGGACUGAACUCCCAAUCACAGUUGAAAAUAAUUAUAUCUAGUCUCUGUGUUUAUUGUGACAUUCUGAGUACAUCUUGUCGGCUCAGUGUCUGUGGGGACUUGGAGACAGUCAGCAAAGAUGGGUUAGCUGAUAACGUCAUAAACGAUUCACACAUUUCAAUGGUGAGUUGUGAUUCUGGAUGGCCAGAUAGCUUCCAACAAUGACAAACUGCCUGUGGGGAAUCGAGGUGGCAUGAUGUCGUCAGACAGGGAUAAAGGGACAGUGUACGACAGCUUCCAGCUCAUGAACCAAUGGGAGAACAGAGCUAAGCAGUUCAGUCAGAAGGGACAACUGGAAAAGGAGAGACAAGGAAAGAGUGCCUUGAAUGGGCUUUACAAAAAGUGGCAGUCUUGCUUGGCGAACAAAAAUGGAACCCCUACGGCAGCGGAGAAGAAAGGAAAGGGCAGCGACAUAUCUGACUUCAGAAAGGUUGCGGUGAUCCCAGACAUUGAUGCUGACAUCAAAGGAGCCAUGUUUAAGGUGGUACCACCACCAAAGAUUCCCAAACCUGCUCCAUCCCCACCACCACCACCCAAAAAGAAACCACCCAAGAGGGCAAAGCCCCAAGUUCUCAAACCAGCCGGGGGCUGGGAUGAGUCAUGGAAAAGCCUGAAGCCCCCAGAGCAGGAAGUCCAACCUGAGGAAAAAUGGUGGAGGGAUUUUAAGCCAGAUAGAUACCUACCUCUCAGCGAAUGGGCAAGGCCCUUCAAGUGUCGACCACUGUUAUUCAGUUUCAUCCUUCACCAGCAAACAGAGUGGUGGCAGCGAGGAUGGCCAGUGUUCAGCCGGGAACAAAGCAACAAACUAUUGAAAGCUAAGACUUUGGAUGUCGAAGUAUACCUUCCAGGGUGGGAGGACGCUUGGAAGACAUCCAGAUCUUUAUCCAAGCAAUACAUUGAGAACAAGAUGAUUACAGAAACAGUACAGCCCAAAGCCUUCUUCCCAGGCUGGACAGAAUCUUGGAAGGUCGCAGGUGAAAAUGUCCAAAACAGUGGCCGAUAUCUUAGGGAUUGGCACGAGUCCUGGAGUUUGUGCCAAGAACACCACUGGUGCAAGGCCCCCAUAGACUCCCAGUUGAUGUCAAAACAUGUGUUCUCCGAUGAGUUGUUGAUCUCCCAGCUUGAUGAGGAGAUCCCAUCUUCAUCAGAUUGGAUAGAGUCCUGGAAAUCUGUGAAAUCUCAGCCCCAGUCCCAGUCCCAAGAGUCCCAGUCAGAGCCCAAAGGGACUGAAUUAGAGGUAGAAAUGUCCCAUGUGCCACUGCAUCUCCAGUUCCACAAGCUUAACACACCUUUCUCAAACUGGCACGAGUCUUGGAAAGUGUCAACUGCAAAUAACGAAGCAAUUGAAGAUGGAUGGAAAGGUUCCUGGAAAAUAUAUAGUCAGAAUCAAAAUCAAAAUAACACAAAAGCCCAAAGAGAUGUUGUGUUUUUCUCAAAUAAGUACAAGACCCAAAGGUUGCGGGGUGUCGACAGCAUGCCUCAGAGUGAAUGGUCUAAAUCCUGGAAGACCCCCAUGCCUCCCCAACAUACUUUCUUGCCAGGUUGGAAAGAAUCUUGGAAACAAAACAGCAAUCCAUAUUGGAAGGAUUGGCAUGAGUCCUGGAGUUUAUGCCAAGAACACCACUUUUGCAAGUCCUUUAUGAACUCCCAGUACUGCCAUCAUGCCAUGAUGAUGUCAAAAUGCUUGCUGACUAAUGAGCUGUUGAGCUCCCAGCUUGAUGAGGAGAUCCCAUCUUCAUAUGAGUGGAUAGAGUCCUGGAAAUCUGUGAAACCUUAUCCUCAGUCCCAAUCAGAUUCAGAAGAAACUGAAUCAGAGUUGGAUAUGUCCCAUGUGCCACUGCAUCUUCAGUUCUACAAGCUUAACACACCUUUCUCAAACUGGCAUGAGUCUUGGAAAGUGUCAACUGCGCAAGCUGUAGCAGGUAAAGACGAACAAGAACAUCCUUCAACAGAAUGGACUGAUUCCUGGAAGAUAUCUUGGAUGAAUCUAAAUAAAAAUGACUUAAAACCCCAAAAGGAUGUUGUAUUUUUCUCAAGGCAUAAGACUGAAUGUUUCUUGAGUGUUGACUGUAUGGUCCAGAAUGAAUGGUCUGAAUGCUGGAAGACCAUCAAGCCUACCCAAUACACUGAGACACAGGAGGAGGAGGAGGAAAAAGAUAGCCAUUCUGAUUCCUCAAAAAAUGUGUCACAUCUAAUAGAGAUUCCUUUGAAUGAUUGGGCAGAAUCAUGGAGGUUCAAGCCAGAGGACGAGAGCCCCACCUCACCCAAGACGGCACAGCCCCUAGCCCCAAAACCAGAGGAGGAGAUGCUGAAAGCCAGCACACCAUCACCUCCUCAGCCUUACAAAUACAAUCUUAACCAGGCAAGCUGGGGUGAUUCCUGGAAAAUCCUGAAGCCCCCACAGAAGGAAGUCCCAUCUGAGAAAAAAUGGUGGAGGGCGUUUAAGCAGGACAGAAAUCUACCUUUCAAUGAAUGGGCAAAGCCCUUCAAGUGUCGACCACUGCUAUUCAGUCGCUUACUGCACACACAAACAACAUCCUGGCAGCAGGGAUGGCCAGCGUUCAGCCGGGAACAAAGCAACAAACUACUGAAUGCUAAGCCUUUGGAUAACAAAGUAAACCUUCUGGAGUGGGAGGAUGCUUGGAAGACACUCAAGCGUUUACACAAGCAGCAUGCUGAGAACAAGAUGAUUACAGAAAGAGUACAGCCCGAUGGCUUCUUGCCAGGUUGGAUAGAAUCUUGGAAGGUCGCAGGUAACAAUGUCCAAAACAACAAUCCAUAUCUGAAGGAUUGGCGUGAGUCCUGGAGUUUUUGUCAUGAACAUCACUCAUACAGGGCCUCUAUAGACUCCCAGAAUCGGCAGUAUCUCCCAGUAUCACUAAAACACAAGCUGUCCAAUGAUCUGUUGAUCUCCCAGCUUGAUGAAAACAUUACGUCCUCACCAGAAGGGUGAGGACGUGCUGAAGACAACAUGCUGAAGACAACAUGCCUCAGAAUGAAUGGUCUGAAUGUUGGAAGACACAGCAGCAGCACCAGCAGCAGUUGGAGGACUGGGCAGAGUCUUGGAGGUUAUCUGUCGCCCCAGAAUCCAACAACUCAGUAUCACUAGACCGGUGGAAACAAUCAUGGAGACUCUCAAACCCAAAUCACCCACAUCAGCUUAACCAGGGCACAGAGCCUCUCAUACACAACGGCCCCAAACACCACAUGCAACUCCACGCGGUUGAACUGCCCCAGGCAGAAUGGAGCAACUCCUGGCAGUACCUCAAGUCAGACACUGGAUCCUAAUACGAAGAAGAAAACAGACAUACAGUAGAACAUUAUAACAUGUACGUCAAAUGAUCAGAUGUGUAUUUGAUCCUAUACUAUUUAUACUUAAUGUCAAUAUACAUACUUGUUAAAUGUCUUAUUACUGGACACAUUGGAGUGUGACGAGCAGAAUUCUCUGCUGCAGAGAGGAGGUUGGGGUGAAUGAAGUGUAUAAUGCGUGGUUUGCAUAGCUGUUGGAAACUUUAAACCUAACCUAAUCUCAACCUAAUCUAAUCUAUUCUAUUGAUUGAAAUGUUGUUGUUUUCUAUCGGCUGUUGUUGCUACUUCUAUUGUUGCUGGUUGUCUUUGUGACUAAAUUAAUGCUUGAUUGACGAACACUUUAUCCAUCUUGG
RNAcentral lists this long non-coding RNA (6196 nucleotides) under Salmo salar (Atlantic salmon). RNAcentral describes it as "lncRNA (ENSSSAG00000083761.1)". The record is from RNAcentral. Lineage: Eukaryota; Metazoa; Chordata; Actinopteri; Salmoniformes; Salmonidae.